AACGAACGCUGGCGGCAUGCCUAACACAUGCAAGUCGAACGAGACCUUCGGGUCUAGUGGCGCACGGGUGCGUAACGCGUGGGAACCUGCCCUUAGGUUCGGAAUAACUCCCCGACAGGGGUGCUAAUACCGGAUAAUGUCUUCGGACCAAAGAUUUAUCGCCUUUGGAUGGGCCCGCGUUGGAUUAGCUCGUUGGUAGGGUAAAAGCCUACCAAGGCGACGAUCCAUAGCUGGUCUGAGAGGAUGAUCAGCCACACUGGGACUGAGACACGGCCCAGACUCCUACGGGAGGCAGCAGUGGGGAAUAUUGGACAAUGGGCGAAAGCCUGAUCCAGCAAUGCCGCGUGAGUGAUGAAGGCCUUAGGGUUGUAAAGCUCUUUUACCCGGGAUGAUAAUGACAGUACCGGGAGAAUAAGCGCCGGCUAACUCCGUG
RNAcentral lists this ribosomal RNA (433 nucleotides) under uncultured bacterium. RNAcentral describes it as "partial 16S ribosomal RNA". It matches the Rfam family "Bacterial small subunit ribosomal RNA", at positions 29 to 507 of the family's 1533-position model. The record is from RNAcentral.